This 451-nucleotide ribosomal RNA is filed under the name uncultured organism. RNAcentral describes it as "partial 16S ribosomal RNA". It matches the Rfam family "Bacterial small subunit ribosomal RNA", at positions 332 to 799 of the family's 1533-position model. The record is from RNAcentral.
UACACUCCUGCGGGAGGCAGCAGUGGGGAAUAUUGGACAAUGGGCGCAAGCCUGAUCCAGCCAUGCCGCGUGAGUGAUGAAGGCCCUAGGGUUGUAAAGCUCUUUCACCGGAGAAGAUAAUGACGGUAUCCGGAGAAGAAGCCCCGGCUAACUUCGUGCCAGCAGCCGCGGUAAUACGAAGGGGGCUAGCGUUGUUCGGAAUUACUGGGCGUAAAGCGCACGUAGGCGGAUCGAUCAGUCAGGGGUGAAAUCCCAGGGCUCAACCCUGGAACUGCCUUUGAUACUGUCGAUCUGGAGUAUGGAAGAGGUGAGUGGAAUUCCGAGUGUAGAGGUGAAAUUCGUAGAUAUUCGGAGGAACACCAGUGGCGAAGGCGGCUCACUGGUCCAUUACUGACGCUGAGGUGCGAAAGCGUGGGGAGCAAACAGGAUUAGAAACCCCUGUAGUCCCAUG